AUGUUUGCCUCAGUAGCAUGUGUACUAAAAUUGCAAUGCUAGAGAUUAGCAGAGUCCCUGAGCAAGGAUAUCACACAAUUUUUUUGAAGUUUUCCAUACUUUU
Chionomys nivalis (European snow vole) is the source of this 103-nucleotide small nuclear RNA. NCBI's taxonomy places the organism in Eukaryota, Metazoa, Chordata, Mammalia, Rodentia, Cricetidae. The record is from RefSeq and is a predicted model, not a curated record.